RNAcentral lists this ribosomal RNA (165 nucleotides) under uncultured fungus. RNAcentral describes it as "partial 28S ribosomal RNA". The stretch from base 19 to 165 matches the Rfam family "Eukaryotic large subunit ribosomal RNA", at positions 1 to 144 of the family's 3401-position model. Lineage: Eukaryota; Fungi. The record is from RNAcentral.
GACACCUUUGUGAACAUUUGAUCUCAAAUCAGGUAGGACUACCCGCUGAACUUAAGCAUAUCAAUAAGCGGAGGAAAAGAAACUAACAAGGAUUCCCCUAGUAACUGCGAGUGAAGCGGGAAGAGCUCAAAUUUAAAAUCUGGCGUGCCUCUGGUCGUCCGAGUU